RNAcentral lists this ribosomal RNA (459 nucleotides) under uncultured bacterium. Its description in RNAcentral is "SSU rRNA". It matches the Rfam family "Bacterial small subunit ribosomal RNA", at positions 26 to 518 of the family's 1533-position model. The record is from RNAcentral.
AGAACGAACGCUGGCGGCGCGCCUAACACAUGCAAGUCGAGCGCCUCACUUUCGGGUGGGGAGCGGCGCACGGGUGAGUAAUGCGUGGGAACCUACCAUGGGGUUCGGGACAACGGCGGGAAACUGCCGCUAACACCGGAUACGGCCGUAGCAAUACGGCGAAAGGUUACGCCCUGUGAUGGGCCCACGUCCGAUUAGCUUGUUGGUGAGGUAACGGCCCACCAAGGCUGCGAUCGGUAGCCGGUCUGAGAGGAUGAUCGGCCACACUGGGACUGAGACACGGCCCAGACUCCUACGGGAGGCAGCAGUGGGGAAUCUUGGACAAUGGGGGCAACCCUGAUCCAGCGACGCCGCGUGGGUGAUGAAGGCCUUCGGGUUGUAAACCUCUUUCAGCAGGGAUGAAGCGAAAGUGACAGUACCUGCAGAAGAAGCACCGGCUAACUACGUGCCAGCAGCCGC